UUAGUUAGGUAGUGGGGUGGGAGGGAAUACAGUUGGUGCUGCUCCGCCAAUAGGAGGAAGAGGGUGUGUCGUAUGCAAAUUAUCCUGGGAAGCCCAGCCCCUCCCCUAAGGCAAGCCACGGCCCCUUUUCUAGGUCCCUGCAGAAAUGGAGAGGGAGUGAAAUAAAUAGUUGGGAGCUGUAGCUCGCUAGUGGGUCUAAGACUGAGCUAAAUAUUUCCUGAUUUUUUUGAGAAAGGUUGGGGAGGUGGCGGGGGCGAGGAGCUAAAACGUUCAUAGCAUCACGGCAAUGGUUAGGCUUUCUCUCUGCCCAAAUCUUAGGUUAGCUGUAAAGACUGCAGUUACGUAGCACUUUGCAUCCAAGGAUCUCUAAGAACUUUAUGCAUCAUUUAUCGUGAGCUGCAUUUUGCAAAAGACCAGUUAGUUAUCUGAGGCUUGGGCGGAGAGUAGAGGAUAGAUGUUUGAGCACUGAAGGACCAAAGAGACAGGACUGUUUUCUCACCCAAACGUCCUUUCUGAGGCAGCUGGUCAGACACACGCAGAACACAGCCCUGCUUGGGAAGGAAAGUUCAGAGAACAUACUGCCUUUUAAAACUGAGCUGGACCAGCUUCUCCAAAGCUGAAAAGGCUUCUGGACUGCUGUUUUCUUCCAUUCCUCACCUGGCCACCCUUCCUUUCCUAGCCAGCCUGGAUAUCAUCAAGAGAAUGGGACUUAGAGGACCCAGCCACUGAUAGAAGCCGCUCAUUUCGCCUGAAUUAAUCUGUUGUUUUCUGUGCUGUGAACGUGCUGAUUUCUGUGGCAGUGAGUUUACAUUCGCCAGGCUUAAAACUGAGCUCCAAGCAAAUGGAUACCUUUUCUACUUCUGAUAUGCCAAGGACACACUGAGAUUACUUCAGCAAAGAUAAUCUUCCUGCCAAUCUGCAUUAUAAUUCAGAGCUCGUCAAGUGAAGAAAGAAAACAGCCUUAAAGGAGUGCGAUUAAACUUUUACUUUAUCUUUUUAUAUCUUGAUACAAAAAUAUGCAAGUUGAUUAUUUUCUUACAGUACUUGUCACUGGCUUUGUAACUUUGUGUGUUUUUACUUGGCUACCUUCUCCAUAAGAUUAUAGGCUUCAUGAGGAUAAUUUUCUUCAUCACUGUAUCCUCAAUACAAUAAAAACAUUUUUUUUUGAAGAAAUGAAUAAAGAAA
Pteropus alecto (black flying fox) is the source of this 1185-nucleotide long non-coding RNA. RefSeq lists it as uncharacterized. Lineage: Eukaryota; Metazoa; Chordata; Mammalia; Chiroptera; Pteropodidae. The transcript has 4 exons. The record is from RefSeq and is a predicted model, not a curated record.